GGCAACAGUGAUGAAAAUAUACACAGAAUCUUGAUAGCUGCGAAAAUGAUCGCACAAAAAGAACAUCUAAGGGGCUGAGUUGUC
Small nucleolar RNA from Cryptomeria japonica (Japanese cedar), 84 nucleotides. RefSeq annotates it as small nucleolar RNA SNORD25. The transcript has a single exon. The record is from RefSeq and is a predicted model, not a curated record. NCBI's taxonomy places the organism in Eukaryota, Viridiplantae, Streptophyta, Pinopsida, Cupressales, Cupressaceae.